RNAcentral lists this ribosomal RNA (264 nucleotides) under uncultured bacterium. RNAcentral describes it as "partial 16S ribosomal RNA". It matches the Rfam family "Bacterial small subunit ribosomal RNA", at positions 793 to 1055 of the family's 1533-position model. The record is from RNAcentral.
GUCCACGCCGUAAACGGUGCGCACUAGGUGUCGGGGGUAUUCACCCCUCCGGUGCCGCAGCUAACGUACUAAGUGCGCCGCCUGGGAAGUACGGCCGCAAGGCUAAAACUCAAAGGAAUUGACGGGGGCCCGCACAAGCGGUGGAGCAUGUGGUUCAAUUCGAUGCAACGCGAAGAACCUUACCUGGUCUUGACAUCCCGGGAAUCUCCCUGAAAGGGGAGAGUGCCUUCGGGAACCCGGUGACAGGUGCUGCAUGGCUGUCGU